Molecule: ribosomal RNA, 460 nt
Filed under: uncultured bacterium
Lineage: Bacteria
Description: partial 16S ribosomal RNA
Rfam family: Bacterial small subunit ribosomal RNA
Source: RNAcentral
CCUACGGGGUGCAGCAGUGAGGAAUAUUGGUCAAUGGCCGGAAGGCUGAACCAGCCAUGCCGCGUGAAGGUCAGUGCCCUAUGGGCGUUAAACUUCUUUUGUGCGGGAGCAAUAAUGGUCACGUGUGGCCAGACGAGAGUACCGUACGAAUAAGCAUCGGCUAACUCCGUUCCAGCAGCCGCGGUAAUACGGGGGAUGCAAGCGUUAUCCGGAUUUAUUGGGUUUAAAGGGUGCGUAGGCUGUGAGGUAAGUCAGCGGUGAAAUGCCCCCGCUCAACGGGGUGAAGUGCCAUUGAUACUGCCUGGCUGGAAUGCGGAUGCCGUGGGAGGAAUGUGUGGUGUAGCGGUGAAAUGCAUAGAUAUCACACAGAACACCGAUUGCGAAGGCAUCUCACGAAGCCGCGAUUGACGCUGAUGCACGAAAGCGUGGGUAUCAAACAGGAUUAGAUACCCUUGUAGUC